This 621-nucleotide small RNA is filed under the name Pongo abelii (Sumatran orangutan). RNAcentral describes it as "processed transcript". Lineage: Eukaryota; Metazoa; Chordata; Mammalia; Primates; Hominidae. The record is from RNAcentral.
UCAUCCUGGCCCCACCAGGGCCUUGGGCAAGUCCUGCCCACCAUAGGCCUCUGCUCCCUGCCAGUCAGCGGGGAAGUUCACCAGAUUUCGGCUGCUGGGGCCAGGACAGGCCUCUCCUAGGUUGUGCCAAACCAGCCUACAGAUGUUCCUGCCAGUGGUGCCUUCAGGCUGAUGCCAAUCUAGCCUCUCCUGUCCCUCAUCAGCCACCCUGACAGGGGACUUCAGAGCAGCAAGGCCCCAGCUGGCAGUAGCCGGACCAUCUGGACACAGCAGAGCCAGGGUGGCCCAGGGACAGCAGGAGAGCUCACGGCACCUUCCUGAGGCCAAGCAAGGGGAGCAGGGUUAGGGCUGUUCGUGAAAGGCAGAAAGCCUCUGCCCUGAGCCUCACAGCCACUCUUCUCAGCUCUCUGGGUCUGGAAGGAGAACAGGCUGAGGGGAGCUGAGAGGAGCUGAGGUGCUACCAGGAGCCCCAUUCACCCCCACCUGCCCACCUGGGAAUCUGAGGCAGAGGAGGGUGAGGCCUGUGUGCCAACCUUGUUCACAUACCACCUUCGUCCCCCCAGGCCCCGGCCCCUUUCCUGGCUCUCAUUAUUUUUAUGCUAAAACUUUGAAGAAAUUGAA